CAAAAGCUCGUUGUCUUCUGU
This 21-nucleotide non-coding RNA is filed under the name Arabidopsis thaliana (thale cress). Lineage: Eukaryota; Viridiplantae; Streptophyta; Magnoliopsida; Brassicales; Brassicaceae. The record is from RNAcentral.